GUCUUAUCAGCCGGGGUUGUAUAUUUAUUUGUGUUAUCGGUGAUUUUCUAGUUUAAUGCUUUUCGAAAAAGAGAGGAGAUAAACCGAUGUACUGCAACUUUGGUCAAAUCAUUACUAACAAUUAUAAUUCUAAUAGGUUUGUAAUACUGUAAAAUCUCAGUCUCCGCCAUGAAGAUGGAAACAGAACUGAAGAUCUUAACGUUGAAUUGCUGGGGUAUUGUAGGAUUUAGUCGAGAUAGAACAAAGAGGAUGGCUGCAAUUGCAUCUCACCUUGCUGUGUCUGAUUAUGAUUUUGUAUUCCUUCAAGAAGUCUGGAGCCAAGAUGAUUAUCAAAUGAUUAGCAAGAAAGUUUCUGAAGUUCUACCACAUUCAUUUUAUUUUCACAG
Molecule: long non-coding RNA, 386 nt
Organism: Limulus polyphemus (Atlantic horseshoe crab)
Lineage: Eukaryota; Metazoa; Arthropoda; Merostomata; Xiphosura; Limulidae
Exons: 3
Source: RefSeq, a predicted model, not a curated record